UAGGGAAUUUUCGUCAAUGGGCGCAAGCCUGAACGAGCAAUGCCGCGUGAACGAGGAAGGUCUUCGGAUCGUAAAGUUCUGUUGAAGGGGAAAAAGAGCGGAGAGAGGAAAUGGUCUCCGAUUGAUAUUACCCUUCGAGGAAGUCACGGCUAACUACGUGC
This 161-nucleotide ribosomal RNA is filed under the name uncultured bacterium. Its description in RNAcentral is "partial 16S ribosomal RNA". It matches the Rfam family "Bacterial small subunit ribosomal RNA", at positions 355 to 508 of the family's 1533-position model. The record is from RNAcentral.